GGCCAGAUAACUAUGAAGUCCGCAAUGGUGUGUGACUCACUAGAAUAACACGACGAUUUGGACCCUAUUUAACGUUAACUGUAUGGUCUUUCUUUCUUCGAUGGAAAUAAUGUGAUGUGACUAAAAUAACUGCAUCCAUCAUGCUUGUUUUUCCAAUCAAAUGAAAUCAACUUCGUACGUUUUGUCACGUAACCUUACUUUUAACACCUGGUACCCAGGUAUAAGUAUAGAACCCAAUCAAUCCUUGAUCUCAGGAAACUCAAAAAAAAAGUCCUUGAACUCACACUGAAAUAAACCAAGGUUUCCCCCGCCACCGAACCUAUGCUUCUGGUCUUUCACUGUGGAUGUUGUUAACUUGUUAUCUUCCC
RNAcentral lists this long non-coding RNA (368 nucleotides) under Setaria viridis. RNAcentral's name for it is "long non-coding RNA (SVIR_LNC002142)". Lineage: Eukaryota; Viridiplantae; Streptophyta; Magnoliopsida; Poales; Poaceae. The record is from RNAcentral.